CCUACGGGACGCAGCAGUGGGGAAUAUUGGGCAAUGGGCGCAAGCCUGACCCAGCAACGCCGCGUGAAGGAAGAAGGCUUUCGGGUUGUAAACUUCUUUUAAGGGGGACGAACAAAUGACGGUACCCCUUGAAUAAGCCACGGCUAACUACGUGCCAGCAGCCGCGGUAAUACGUAGGGGGCAAGCGUUAUCCGGAUUUACUGGGUGUAAAGGGAGCGUAGACGGAAAGGCAAGUCAGAAGUGAAAACCCAAGGCUCAACCAUGGGACUGCUUUUGAAACUGUCAAACUAGAGUACGGGAGAGGG
This 305-nucleotide ribosomal RNA is filed under the name uncultured bacterium. Its description in RNAcentral is "bacterial SSU rRNA". It matches the Rfam family "Bacterial small subunit ribosomal RNA", at positions 338 to 658 of the family's 1533-position model. The record is from RNAcentral.